CACCUCGACUAUGAUGACUAUUUUUUUCCCCAUCUUAUCGACAAAUGAAGAUGCUGCUGCUGUUUCAAGCCAUUUUAAUCUGAGUUGAGGUG
Molecule: small nucleolar RNA, 92 nt
Filed under: Aplysia californica (California sea hare)
Lineage: Eukaryota; Metazoa; Mollusca; Gastropoda; Aplysiida; Aplysiidae
Description: small nucleolar SNORD12/SNORD106
Rfam family: Small nucleolar SNORD12/SNORD106
About the family: This family belong to the C/D class of snoRNA which contain the C (UGAUGA) and D (CUGA) box motifs.
Source: RNAcentral